UAUGGGANGGGGUCGCGUCCUAUCAGCUUGAUGGCGGGGUAACGGCCCACCAUGGCUUCGACGGGUAGCCGGCCUGAGAGGGCGACCGGCCACAUUGGGACUGAGAUACGGCCCAGACUCCUACGGGAGGCAGCAGUGGGGAAUAUUGCACAAUGGGCGCAAGCCUGAUGCAGCGACGCCGCGUGCGGGAUGAAGGCCUUCGGGUUGUAAACCGCUUUUGAUCGGGAGCAAGCCCUUCGGGGUGAGUGUACCCUUCGAAUAAGCACCGGCUAACUACGUGCCAGCAGCCGCGGUAAUACGUAGGGUGCAAGCGUUAUCCGGAAUUAUUGGGCGUAAAGGGCUCGUAGGCGGUUCGUCGCGUCCGGUGUGAAAGCCCAUCGCUUAACGGUGGGUCUGCGCCGGGUACGGGCGGGCUGGAGUGCGGUAGGGGAGACUGGAAUUCC
This 443-nucleotide ribosomal RNA is filed under the name Bifidobacterium dentium. Its description in RNAcentral is "bacterial SSU rRNA". It matches the Rfam family "Bacterial small subunit ribosomal RNA", at positions 219 to 670 of the family's 1533-position model. The record is from RNAcentral. Lineage: Bacteria; Bacillati; Actinomycetota; Actinomycetes; Bifidobacteriales; Bifidobacteriaceae.